AGAAACCAACAGGGAUUGCCCUAGUAACGGCGAGUGAAGCGGCAACAGCUCAAAUUUGAAAUCUGGCCCUCGGGUCCGAGUUGUAAUUUGUAGAGGAUGUUUUUGGUGAGGUACCUUCCGAGUUCCCUGGAACGGGACGCCAUAGAGGGUGAGAGCCCCGUCUGGUUGGAUACCGAUCCUCUGUAAAACUCCUUCAACGAGUCGAGUAGUUUGGGAAUGCUGCUCUAAAUGGGAGGUAUAUGUCUUCUAAAGCUAAAUAUUGGCCAGAGACCGAUAGCGCACAAGUAGAGUGAUCGAAAGAUGAAAAGCACUUUGAAAAGAGAGUUAAAAAGUACGUGAAAUUGUUGAAAGGGAAGCGCUUAUGACCAGACUUGGACUUGGUUGAUCAUCCUGGGUUCUCCCUGGUGCACUCUUCCAGUUCAGGCCAGCAUCAGUUCAUCGCGGGGGAUAAAGGCUUCGGGAAUGUGGCUCCUCCGGGAGUGUUAUAACCCGUUGUGUAAUACCCUGCUUUGGACUGAGGUUCGCGCAUCUGCAAGGAUGCUGGCGUAAUGGUCAUCAGCGACCCGUCUUGAAACACGGACCAAGGAGUCGUCUUCGUAUGCGAGUGUUCGGGUGUUAAACCCCUACGCGUAAUGAAAGUGAACGCAGGUGAGAGCUUCGGCGCAUCAUCGACCGAUCCUGAUGUUCUCGGAUGGAUUUGAGUAAGAGCAUACGGGGCCGGACCCGAAAGAAGGUGAACUAUGCCUGUAUAGGGUGAAGCCAGAGGAAACUCUGGUGGAGGCUCGCAGCGGUUCUGACGUGCAAAUCGAUCGUCAAAUAUGGGCAUGGGGCGAAAGACUAA
RNAcentral lists this ribosomal RNA (841 nucleotides) under Cylindrocladiella cymbiformis. RNAcentral's name for it is "LSU rRNA". It matches the Rfam family "Eukaryotic large subunit ribosomal RNA", at positions 60 to 934 of the family's 3401-position model. Lineage: Eukaryota; Fungi; Ascomycota; Sordariomycetes; Hypocreales; Nectriaceae. The record is from RNAcentral.